Molecule: long non-coding RNA, 407 nt
Filed under: Vigna radiata
Lineage: Eukaryota; Viridiplantae; Streptophyta; Magnoliopsida; Fabales; Fabaceae
Description: long non-coding RNA (VRAD_LNC013022)
Source: RNAcentral
AAAAAGGCACCAAGAAGGGAGAAAACCCGAAGCCCAGGCGACAGGAACAAAAUCAGCGAGUUCCAAAUCAACGUUGGUCGCCCAGGCGACGGACCUGACACCCGGGCGACAGACGCCCGAAGCUUAGGCAACCAAAACAGGCGCUCAAGCCUCACAUGAGCCUCAAUUCACGCUUGGGCGAGCUCCCUGCGACGCUUGAGCGUGAUUUCACGUGGAUCGAGCCCUGAUUCUACUCUGAUUUGAUUCUUUUGGACCGGGCCGCACUUUGAGACGCAUUUGGCACUAUUUAAAGGACCCUGGGGCUCUAGGUUUUGCAUCCCUGGCAUAAGAGAGCAUAGCAAUACACUUCUAGCCAACUCUUAGUCUUUUCAUUUUGUCUUUUCUUCCAUUAUUCAUAGAGAUCCCCC